CGCCAUUCUGCUUUGCUUCCUGCUUGCCUGCACUUCUGAGUUCCUCCAUGCCAGCUCCAGUUGAUCCUGCUUGCCUUAUGUGCCUGCCUGCGAACCAGGUCCUCUAACAGAUAACGUGCUGGCAGUAGCAGAGAGACGCACCUGCAAAUGAUUCUACUCGUCAUCCCCUGCUAUAUAACGCCGGUCUCAUCUCCACACUGGUGCCAGAUUGUUCCACCAGUUACGGACACUUAACCAGGGGCACAUCUCAAAUAUGACAAGACCAAGCCCUGAGAGCUACAAUGUUUCCAGGUCCAGUCUAAGGUCCAACUCGUCGAAAGCUGACGCUAUCAAAUGUCUGCCAACCUGACACCCCCCCAAUCUGCAGUCAAGAUGGCCAAGAGGGGCUCCACCAUUUAUCCAAUCCAUACCAGAAGUCUCAAAUGGAAGUUAAUUGCCAAGUAAAACCAAAAUAAAUCUUUAGAAAACAUG
Molecule: long non-coding RNA, 471 nt
Organism: Acanthopagrus latus (yellowfin seabream)
Lineage: Eukaryota; Metazoa; Chordata; Actinopteri; Spariformes; Sparidae
Exons: 4
Source: RefSeq, a predicted model, not a curated record